RNAcentral lists this transfer RNA (77 nucleotides) under Desulfobacteraceae bacterium. RNAcentral's name for it is "tRNA-Pro". It matches the Rfam family "tRNA". Rfam says of the family: Transfer RNA (tRNA) molecules are approximately 80 nucleotides in length. Their secondary structure includes four short double-helical elements and three loops (D, anti-codon, and T loops). The record is from RNAcentral. Lineage: Bacteria; Pseudomonadati; Thermodesulfobacteriota; Desulfobacteria; Desulfobacterales; Desulfobacteraceae.
CGGGGCGUGGCGCAGUCUGGCAGCGCACCUGCUUUGGGAGCAGGGAGUCGGAGGUUCAAAUCCUCUCGCCCCGACCA